RNAcentral lists this long non-coding RNA (232 nucleotides) under Gallus gallus (chicken). Its description in RNAcentral is "long non-coding RNA NONGGAT004634". Lineage: Eukaryota; Metazoa; Chordata; Aves; Galliformes; Phasianidae. The record is from RNAcentral.
UAGAAGUAGACUUUUUAGGGAGGAGGGAGAAAGAAUGAGGCGUGUUACCAUAGUAACUGCCAAUGGUUUAUUUAAGAAGGGCAAAGAAACAAACACCACAAAAAGGCGAAGUCGAGAGGAGCUGGAGAUCACUGGAGGAAUCUGUCGGGACACAGACAACAUGGGGCCAGGAAAGCUCUCAUUGGGUCUGGAGCAAAUACCAAGGGCUGAAAAUGUAGAAUAGAAACUGCAU